UCUCCGUAGGUGAACCUGCGGAGGGAUCAUUACAGAGUUCUCGCCCUCGCGGGUAACUAUCCCACCCACUGUUAUCGUUACUGUGUUGCUUUGGUGGGCCACCGGGGCCCUCUCGGCCGCCGGCUCCGGCAGGCGCGCACCCGCCAGAAGCCCAGCAAACUCUGAAUGUUAGUGUCGUCUGAAUACUAUAUAAUAGUUAAAACUUUCAACAACGGAUCUCCUCGUUCUGGCAUCGAUGAAGAACGCAUCAGAUCGGAAAAGCAAACGUCUGAACUCCAA
RNAcentral lists this unclassified non-coding RNA (279 nucleotides) under plant metagenome. RNAcentral describes it as "partial contains small subunit ribosomal RNA, internal transcribed spacer 1, and 5.8S ribosomal RNA". The record is from RNAcentral.